GUUCUGUGGUUUAGAUUGUGACUUAUUCGAUGGUUAGAAGAAUCCUGUUCUGGUGAUUGGGGAUUUGAUAGUUGAACGCUGUCCUGGUGAUUUGACAUAGGUGACGAGUCACGUUGACAAGAUGCGUCGGAUCGUUGGAAGAGAGACACAACAGUCUUGUCGCUUCGGUUAUUUUUUAAUGUCUUGCAAUCCGUGGAAUAUCCCUAACUUCGCCUGUAGAUGGCGAGGACAUCGCAUUCCUACAGGUAGCAAGACAAGAGUUUUGCUAUCGGCCGGUCCUUCUCGUCGUCUUUUAUCGCCGUACGAUAUGGCUGAGUUAACGAUUUUAAAUAUCUGCAACUACGGGAGGCACUAUUGUAGUUGUUAUAGGUUCUUGGUUGUUAUUGAAAUUGUCAGAAGGAGG
This 403-nucleotide long non-coding RNA is filed under the name Androctonus crassicauda. Lineage: Eukaryota; Metazoa; Arthropoda; Arachnida; Scorpiones; Buthidae. The record is from RNAcentral.